GGGCGCAUGGUGUAGUUGGUUAUCACGCUCGCUUAGCAUUUGCUUACGUAAAGCCGCUGUGCGAGAGGUGUUGGGUUCAAUUCCCAAUGCGUCCA
Molecule: non-coding RNA, 95 nt
Organism: Mycena crocata
Lineage: Eukaryota; Fungi; Basidiomycota; Agaricomycetes; Agaricales; Mycenaceae
Source: the annotation of a GenBank genome assembly